RNAcentral lists this long non-coding RNA (804 nucleotides) under Pan troglodytes (chimpanzee). Its description in RNAcentral is "lncRNA (ENSPTRG00000054635.1)". The record is from RNAcentral. Lineage: Eukaryota; Metazoa; Chordata; Mammalia; Primates; Hominidae.
CUGUAUUAGAAACAUAGAGUUGCAUCAGAUGAUAUGAAUCUGAUCAGGGAGUGCAACUCAAUGCUGGUUGCAAUUACUGUAUGGCUGUCCACCUCUGGUUGUCCCAUACUCCUAGGGUGUAGACUUCUAGGAUUCCCACUGAGAUCCUGAAGUAUUUGCUAGAAUCCCUCUUCACUGAUAUUCCCAGGCUCUAAUUUCCAUAUCUUUAUCAUGGUCUGUUUAGUCAGUAGAGAAUAAAAAUACACUAAGCUUUUUUUUUUAAAAAAAAAUGCUUUUACCCUUGGGAGUGUCAUGAUCAGGACUAUAUAUGGAGGAGAUUUAGGGAGCUCAAAUAGGAGGUUAUAGUAAUAGUCUGGAUAUGAGUUAAUGAAGGCUGCUGAUACAGGAAGUUGGAAACAGGAAUGUACAUGAAGAGACAGAUACGGAACCUCUUAUGGAAGAAGAGAGGGAGGGGAUUAUCUACAAGAAGAAAAGUGGGGCUUUUGCUUUAUCCCCUAGUCCCAACACACUCACUGCGGACCAAUUAUUUUCACACACUAACAAGCGUAACCCUGGAACAUGAGGAUGUUGACAUGACCUGUAUACAGUUAUGAGACUGGUUGUUAUUGUUGUUCUCCUGACAAAAUAUGAGGAAGGAGAAAUGUGCUGAACAUUGAAGGAUUCCGCUCUGGGAAUCAAAUUGGAAUACUGACUUCAUGGAAAUGAUUGUUUCCAAUCCUGCUGCUGGAGGAUGUGAUCUUCCAGAACCUAAACUGGGCUUGGGGACUAAGAGUGUGUAAGUGAUACCUCAAAAUCCGUCCCAGC